AAUACAGUACUUGUUAUGCCUUAUUAAAAAAAAGUUUUAUAACAUAAGGAAUUAUAACAAAGAAGCAACACAUAAAAUAUGACAUUCAUAUUUUUUAGUGUGUAUCAAUCGAGUUUCUGACCUAUCAGCUUUUGAUGUUAGGAUAUGGGCCUAACAUGGCUAUGACGGGUGACGGGGAAUCAGGGUUCGAUUCCGGAGAGGGAGCCUGAGAAACGGCUACCACAUCCAAGGAAGGCAGCAGGCGCGCAAAUUACCCAAUUCUAAAGAAGAGAGGUAGUGACAAGAAAUAAUAGGACAAGACUAAUUUUUUAGUUUUGUAUCUGUGCUGAUAGAAUUUUAAAACCAUUCUAAAAUUCCAUUGGAGGGCAAGUCUGGUGCCAGCAGCCGCGGUAAUUCCAGCUCCAAUAGCGUAUAUUAAAGUUGCUGCAGUUAAAAAGCUCGUAGUUGGAUUUCAAA
Molecule: ribosomal RNA, 456 nt
Filed under: Hepatocystis sp.
Lineage: Eukaryota; Apicomplexa; Aconoidasida; Haemosporida; Plasmodiidae
Description: SSU rRNA
Rfam family: Eukaryotic small subunit ribosomal RNA
Source: RNAcentral